RNAcentral lists this ribosomal RNA (494 nucleotides) under uncultured bacterium. RNAcentral describes it as "partial 16S ribosomal RNA". It matches the Rfam family "Bacterial small subunit ribosomal RNA", at positions 28 to 507 of the family's 1533-position model. The record is from RNAcentral.
GACGAACGCUGGCGGCGUGCUUAACACAUGCAAGUCGAACGGAAAGGCCUGCUUUCCCUUGUGGAUUGCGGGUACUCGAGUGGCGAACGGGUGAGUAACACGUGAGUGAUCUGCCCCCAACUUGGGUAUAAGCCUGGGAAACUGGGUCUAAUUCCCGAUAGGACUGCAGGGUGGUGCCUGUGGUGGAAAACGAUUUUCUAGUGGUUGGGGAUGAGCUCGCGGCCUAUCAGCUUGUUGGUGGGGUAAUGGCCUACCAAGGCGGCGACGGGUAGCCGGCCUGAGAGGGUGGACGGCCACAUUGGGACUGAGAUACGGCCCAGACUCCUACGGGAGGCAGCAGUGGGGAAUAUUGAACAAUGGGCGGAAGCCUGAUGCAGCGAGGCCGAGUGGGGGAUGACGGCCUUCGGGUUGUAAACUCCUUUCGACCGCGAGGAAGCCACCUGGUUGGAAGGGUGGUGACGGUAGUGGUAGAAGAAGCACCGGCUAACUACGUG